AAAUCGGUUCUUCUCAGAACCACAACUUGUUAGUCACACAUCUCU
Molecule: non-coding RNA, 45 nt
Organism: Agrilus planipennis (emerald ash borer)
Lineage: Eukaryota; Metazoa; Arthropoda; Insecta; Coleoptera; Buprestidae
Source: Rfam